RNAcentral lists this ribosomal RNA (913 nucleotides) under uncultured bacterium. RNAcentral's name for it is "bacterial SSU rRNA". It matches the Rfam family "Bacterial small subunit ribosomal RNA", at positions 8 to 916 of the family's 1533-position model. The record is from RNAcentral.
AGAGUUUGAUCAUGGCUCAGGAUGAACGCUAGCGGGAGGCUUAACACAUGCAAGUCGAGGGGCAUCACGAGGUAGCAAUACUUUUGGUGGCGACCGGCGCACGGGUGAGUAACACGUAUGCAACCUUCCCUGUACAGGGGGAUAACCCGGAGAAAUUCGGACUAAUACCCCAUGAUGAUAUUUAUGGGCAUCCAUUGAUAUUUAAAGCUCUGGCGGUACAGGAUGGGCAUGCGCGACAUUAGCUAGUUGGUAAGGUAACGGCUUACCAAGGCUACGAUGUUUAGGGGACCUGAGAGGGUUGUCCCCCACACUGGUACUGAGACACGGACCAGACUCCUACGGGAGGCAGCAGUGAGGAAUAUUGGUCAAUGGGCGCAAGCCUGAACCAGCCAUCCCGCGUGAAGGAAGAAUGCGCUACGCGUUGUAAACUUCUUUUCCAGGGGGAGAAUAAUCCUGUCGUGACAGGACUUGACGGUACUCUGGGAAUAAGCAUCGGCUAACUCCGUGCCAGCAGCCGCGGUAAUACGGAGGAUGCGAGCGUUAUCCGGAUUUAUUGGGUUUAAAGGGUGCGUAGGCGGAUUGAUAAGUCAGUGGUGAAAUUCUACAGCUUAACUGUAGACUUGCCGUUGAUACUGUUAGUCUUGAGUGUGGUCAAGGCAGGCGGAAUGUGUAAUGUAGCGGUGAAAUGCUUAGAUAUUACACAGAACACCGAUUGCGAAGGCAGCUUGCUGGGUCAUUACUGACGCUGAUGCACGAAAGCGUGGGGAUCAAACAGGAUUAGAUACCCUGGUAGUCCACGCCGUAAACUAUGAUCACUCGCUGUUGGCGAUACACAGUCAGCGGCUAAGCAAAAGCAUUAAGUGAUCCACCUGGGGAGUACGGCCGCAAGGCUGAAACUCAAAUGAAUUGACGG